UACGGGGGGGGCAAGCGUUGUUCGGAAUUACUGGGCGUAAAGGGCUCGUAGGCGGCCAACUAAGUCGGACGUGAAAUCCCUCAGCUUAACUGGGGAACUGCGUCUGAUACUGGAUGGCUUGGAUUCGGGAGAGGGAUGCGGAAUUCCAGGUGUAGCGGUGAAAUGCGUAGAUAUCUGGAGGAAUACCGGUGGCGAAGGCGGCAUCCUGGACCGGCAUUGACGCUGAGGAGCGAAAGCCAGGGGAGCAAACGGG
Molecule: ribosomal RNA, 253 nt
Filed under: uncultured bacterium
Lineage: Bacteria
Description: partial 16S ribosomal RNA
Rfam family: Bacterial small subunit ribosomal RNA
Source: RNAcentral